GACGAACGCUGGCGGCGUGCUUAACACAUGCAAGUCGAACGGAAAGGCCCUGCUUUUGUGGGGUGCUCGAGUGGCGAACGGGUGAGUAACACGUGAGUAACCUGCCCUUGACUUUGGGAUAACUUCAGGAAACUGGGGCUAAUACCGGAUAGGAGCUCCUGCUGCAUGGUGGGGGUUGGAAAGUUUCGGCGGUUGGGGAUGGACUCGCGGCUUAUCAGCUUGUUGGUGGGGUAGUGGCUUACCAAGGCUUUGACGGGUAGCCGGCCUGGGAGGGUGGCCGGCCACAUUGGGCCUGAGAUACGGCCCAGAAUCCUACGGGAGGCAGCAGUGGGGUAUAUUGCACAGUGGGCGGGAGCCUGAUGCAGCAACGCCGCGUGCGGGAUGACGGCCUUCGGGUUGUAAACCGCUUUCGCCUGUGACGAAGCGUGAGUGACGGUAAUGGGUAAAGAAGCACCGGCUAACUACGUG
This 468-nucleotide ribosomal RNA is filed under the name uncultured bacterium. RNAcentral describes it as "partial 16S ribosomal RNA". It matches the Rfam family "Bacterial small subunit ribosomal RNA", at positions 28 to 507 of the family's 1533-position model. The record is from RNAcentral.